CUGUGUUUCAGGGGUAGCUCCACGGCGUGGCUGUCAUGGCUCAGCGUGACAAUUCAGGACUUCCACCUGUGGCUGACCGUGUCUCACUGCGCAUCCUGCACCAGGUCAUGCAACGGCAUCGUCUUUGUGACGUCACUCGCCGGGAUUUCCCUUGGAUUGCUCGCCUGCUGCCUCUACUUCCUCCAGAGACGGACGGUACCAGAUCCCAUGGUGCUCAUGCAGGGUAAGCGACGUUUUGGUCUCGCGGCCUACGGCAGGAACGCCUUCACGGGCUCCAUAGAUCUCCAUGGAUCUCCAUGGGUCUCUGUUUUUCCGUGUCUCUAUGGGUCUCUGUGUGUCUCUAUGGAUCUGUGUUUA
Non-coding RNA from Petromyzon marinus (sea lamprey), 357 nucleotides. The record is from RefSeq and is a predicted model, not a curated record. Lineage: Eukaryota; Metazoa; Chordata; Hyperoartia; Petromyzontiformes; Petromyzontidae.